GAUGAACGCUAGCUACAGGCUUAACACAUGCAAGUCGAGGGGAAACGACAUCGAAAGCUUGCUUUUGAUGGGCGUCGACCGGCGCACGGGUGAGUAACGCGUAUCCAACCUGCCCAUCACUUGGGAAUAACCUUGCGAAAGUAAGACUAAUACCCAAUGAUAUCCCACGAAGGCAUCGGAAUGGGAUUAAAGAUUUAUCGGUGAUGGAUGGGGAUGCGUCUGAUUAGCUUGUUGGCGGGGUAACGGCCCACCAAGGCAACGAUCAGUAGGGGUUCUGAGAGGAAGGUCCCCCACAUUGGAACUGAGACACGGUCCAAACUCCUACGGGAGGAAGAAGUGAGGAAUAGUGGUAAAUGGGCGAGAGCCUGAACCAGCCAAGUAGCGUGCAGGAAGACGGCCCUAUGGGUUGUAAACUGCUUUUAUAAGGGAAUAAAGUGGGUCACGUGUGACUUUUUGCAUGUACCUUAUGAAUAAGGACCGGCUAAUUCCGUG
RNAcentral lists this ribosomal RNA (492 nucleotides) under uncultured bacterium. RNAcentral describes it as "partial 16S ribosomal RNA". It matches the Rfam family "Bacterial small subunit ribosomal RNA", at positions 28 to 507 of the family's 1533-position model. The record is from RNAcentral.